AUAUUGCACAAUGGGGGAAACCCUGAUGCAGCGACGCCGCGUGGGUGAAGGAGCGCUUCGGCGUGUAAAGCUCUAUCAGCAGGGAAGAAAAUGACGGUACCUGACUAAGAAGCCCCGGCUAACUACGUGCCAGCCGCCGCGGUAAUACGUAGGGGGCAAGCGUUAUCCGGAUUUACUGGGUGUAAAGGGAGCGUAGACGGCUGUGCAAGUCUGGAGUGAAAGCCCGGGGCUCAACCCCGGGACUGCUUUGGAAACUGUACGGCUGGAGUGCUGGAGAGGCAAGCGGAAUUCCUAGUGUAGCGGUGAAAUGCGUAGAUAUUAGGAGGAACACCAGUGGCGAAGGCGGCUUGCUGGACAGUAACUGACGUUGAGGCUCGAAAGCGUGGGGAGCAAACA
This 396-nucleotide ribosomal RNA is filed under the name uncultured bacterium. Its description in RNAcentral is "bacterial SSU rRNA". It matches the Rfam family "Bacterial small subunit ribosomal RNA", at positions 361 to 774 of the family's 1533-position model. The record is from RNAcentral.